RNAcentral lists this ribosomal RNA (1773 nucleotides) under Staphylococcus aureus. RNAcentral describes it as "partial 23S ribosomal RNA". It matches the Rfam family "Bacterial large subunit ribosomal RNA", at positions 996 to 2770 of the family's 2925-position model. The record is from RNAcentral. Lineage: Bacteria; Bacillati; Bacillota; Bacilli; Caryophanales; Staphylococcaceae.
UGAUAAGGUCCGUGUUCGAAAGGGAAACAGCCCAGACCACCAGCUAAGGUCCCAAAAUAUAUGUUAAGUGGAAAAGGAUGUGGCGUUGCCCAGACAACUAGGAUGUUGGCUUAGAAGCAGCCAUCAUUUAAAGAGUGCGUAAUAGCUCACUAGUCGAGUGACACUGCGCCGAAAAUGUACCGGGGCUAAACAUAUUACCGAAGCUGUGGAUUGUCCUUUGGACAAUGGUAGGAGAGCGUUCUAAGGGCGUUGAAGCAUGAUCGUAAGGACAUGUGGAGCGCUUAGAAGUGAGAAUGCCGGUGUGAGUAGCGAAAGACGGGUGAGAAUCCCGUCCACCGAUUGACUAAGGUUUCCAGAGGAAGGCUCGUCCGCUCUGGGUUAGUCGGGUCCUAAGCUGAGGCCGACAGGCGUAGGCGAUGGAUAACAGGUUGAUAUUCCUGUACCACCUAUAAUCGUUUUAAUCGAUGGGGGGACGCAGUAGGAUAGGCGAAGCGUGCGAUUGGAUUGCACGUCUAAGCAGUAAGGCUGAGUAUUAGGCAAAUCCGGUACUCGUUAAGGCUGAGCUGUGAUGGGGAGAAGACAUUGUGUCUUCGAGUCGUUGAUUUCACACUGCCGAGAAAAGCCUCUAGAUAGAAAAUAGGUGCCCGUACCGCAAACCGACACAGGUAGUCAAGAUGAGAAUUCUAAGGUGAGCGAGCGAACUCUCGUUAAGGAACUCGGCAAAAUGACCCCGUAACUUCGGGAGAAGGGGUGCUCUUUAGGGUUAACGCCCAGAAGAGCCGCAGUGAAUAGGCCCAAGCGACUGUUUAUCAAAAACACAGGUCUCUGCUAAACCGUAAGGUGAUGUAUAGGGGCUGACGCCUGCCCGGUGCUGGAAGGUUAAGAGGAGUGGUUAGCUUCUGCGAAGCUACGAAUCGAAGCCCCAGUAAACGGCGGCCGUAACUAUAACGGUCCUAAGGUAGCGAAAUUCCUUGUCGGGUAAGUUCCGACCCGCACGAAAGGCGUAACGAUUUGGGCACUGUCUCAACGAGAGACUCGGUGAAAUCAUAGUACCUGUGAAGAUGCAGGUUACCCGCGACAGGACGGAAAGACCCCGUGGAGCUUUACUGUAGCCUGAUAUUGAAAUUCGGCACAGCUUGUACAGGAUAGGUAGGAGCCUUUGAAACGUGAGCGCUAGCUUACGUGGAGGCGCUGGUGGGAUACUACCCUAGCUGUGUUGGCUUUCUAACCCGCACCACUUAUCGUGGUGGGAGACAGUGUCAGGCGGGCAGUUUGACUGGGGCGGUCGCCUCCUAAAAGGUAACGGAGGCGCUCAAAGGUUCCCUCAGAAUGGUUGGAAAUCAUUCAUAGAGUGUAAAGGCAUAAGGGAGCUUGACUGCGAGACCUACAAGUCGAGCAGGGUCGAAAGACGGACUUAGUGAUCCGGUGGUUCCGCAUGGAAGGGCCAUCGCUCAACGGAUAAAAGCUACCCCGGGGAUAACAGGCUUAUCUCCCCCAAGAGUUCACAUCGACGGGGAGGUUUGGCACCUCGAUGUCGGCUCAUCGCAUCCUGGGGCUGUAGUCGGUCCCAAGGGUUGGGCUGUUCGCCCAUUAAAGCGGUACGCGAGCUGGGUUCAGAACGUCGUGAGACAGUUCGGUCCCUAUCCGUCGUGGGCGUAGGAAAUUUGAGAGGAGCUGUCCUUAGUACGAGAGGACCGGGAUGGACAUACCUCUGGUGUACCAGUUGUCGUGCCAACGGCAUAGCUGGGUAGCUAUGUGUGGACGGGAUAAGUG